CGGCGGACGGGUGAGUAAUGCCUAGGAAUCUGCCUGGUAGUGGGGGACAACGUUUCGAAAGGAACGCUAAUACCGCAUACGUCCUACGGGAGAAAGCAGGGGACCUUCGGGCCUUGCGCUAUCAGAUGAGCCUAGGUCGGAUUAGCUAGUUGGUGGGGUAAUGGCUCACCAAGGCGACGAUCCGUAACUGGUCUGAGAGGAUGAUCAGCCACACUGGAACUGAGACACGGUCCAGACUCCUACGGGAGGCAGCAGCC
RNAcentral lists this ribosomal RNA (257 nucleotides) under uncultured Pseudomonas sp. RNAcentral's name for it is "partial 16S ribosomal RNA". It matches the Rfam family "Bacterial small subunit ribosomal RNA", at positions 96 to 355 of the family's 1533-position model. The record is from RNAcentral. Lineage: Bacteria; Pseudomonadati; Pseudomonadota; Gammaproteobacteria; Pseudomonadales; Pseudomonadaceae.